AUACCUUUCUCGGCCUUUUGGCUAAGAUCAAGUGUAGUAUCUGUUCUUAUCAGUUUAAUAUCUGAUAUGUGGGCCAUGUGCCUACUUCGAUAUUAAAUUUAUUUUUUGUGGGGGAGGGCCCACCACAGUGGCUUGCCACUGGGGCCCUCGCGCGUCGCCCAGGCGUUGCACUGCUGCCCGGGCCUGGCGCACCCCAA
This 197-nucleotide small nuclear RNA is filed under the name Oryza rufipogon (brownbeard rice). RNAcentral describes it as "snRNA U2". It matches the Rfam family "U2 spliceosomal RNA". Rfam says of the family: U2 is a small nuclear RNA (snRNA) component of the spliceosome (involved in pre-mRNA splicing). Complementary binding between U2 snRNA (in an area lying towards the 5' end but 3' to hairpin I) and the branchpoint sequence (BPS) of the intron results the bulging out of an unpaired adenosine, on the BPS, which initiates a nucleophilic attack at the intronic 5' splice site, thus starting the first of two transesterification reactions that mediate splicing. The record is from Rfam by way of RNAcentral. Lineage: Eukaryota; Viridiplantae; Streptophyta; Magnoliopsida; Poales; Poaceae.